Unclassified non-coding RNA from Mesocricetus auratus (golden hamster), 283 nucleotides. It matches the Rfam family "Metazoan signal recognition particle RNA". Rfam says of the family: The signal recognition particle (SRP) is a universally conserved ribonucleoprotein. It is involved in the co-translational targeting of proteins to membranes. The record is from Ensembl. NCBI's taxonomy places the organism in Eukaryota, Metazoa, Chordata, Mammalia, Rodentia, Cricetidae.
GCGGUGGGGCACCUGUAGUCCCAGCUACUCGGGAGGCUGAGACAGGAGGAUCGCUUGAGUCCAGGAGUUCUGGGCUGUAGUGCGCUAUGCUGAUCGGGUGUCUGCACUAAGUUCAGCAUCAAUAUGGUGACCUCCCGGGGGGGGGGGCACCAGGUUGCCUAAGGAGGGGUGAACCGGCCCAGGUCGGAAACAGAGCAGGUCAAAACUCCCGUGCUGAUCUCUUCUUAUUUUUCAUUCGUUUCCAUUUUUCCUGGAUUAAUAUAUGCAGCAAGUACCUUUCAUU